UGAGGGCGGCUUCCCGGGUGCCCCUCCCGGCGCCAAUCCCCCGCCGGCCGGAGGAGGCGCUCCCCCGGCGCCCGCUGCCGGUGUUAGGCGGGCCGGGCCCUGUAGGCGAACCCGGGGCCCCGCCGGCGUCGCCCCUUCGCCUGCGGAGGGAUGCGCUCGGAGGCGGCGCCGCAGCCCGGCGGCCUGGAGAGGUUCGCCAGUCCCGGCAAGGGCCGGGGCCUGCGGGCUCUGAGGCGCUACGCCGUGGGAGAGCUGCUCUUCAGCUGCCCGGCCUACACCGCCGUGCUGACCGUCAGCGAGCGCGGCGGCCACUGCGACGGCUGCUUCGCCAGGAAAGAAGGACUGUCCAAGUGUGGAAGAUGUAAGCAGGCCUUUUACUGCAAUGUGGAAUGUCAGAAGGAAGACUGGCCAAUGCAUAAGCUGGAAUGUUCCGCCAUGUGUGCUUUUGGGCAGAACUGGAAUCCCUCGGAGACGGUGAGGCUAACAGCGAGGAUCCUUGCCAAACAGAAAAUUCACCCUGAAAGAACACAGUCAGAGAAGCUGCUUGCUGUGAAAGAAUUUGAAUCGCACCUUGACAAACUAGACAAUGAAAAGAGAGAGCUGAUUCAGAACGACAUUGCUGCUCUUCAUCACUUUUAUUCAAAGCACAUGGAGUACCCUGACAAUGCUGCUCUUGUAGUUCUCUUUGCACAAGUUAACUGCAAUGGUUUCACGAUUGAAGAUGAAGAACUCUCUCAUUUGGGAUCAGCCAUAUUUCCUGAUGUUGCACUGAUGAACCAUAGCUGUUGCCCAAAUGUGAUCGUAACUUACAAAGGGACACUGGCAGAAGUCAGAGCUGUGAAAGAGAUUGAGCCUGGAGAAGAGGUUUUUACCAGCUAUAUUGACCUGUUGUAUCCCACAGAAGACAGAAAUGACAGGUUAAGAGACUCCUAUUUCUUCACUUGUGAUUGCAGGGAGUGCACUAUGAAGGAAAAGGAUAAAGAGAAACUGAAAAUCCGCAAGCUGAAUGAUCCUCCAUCAGCAGAGGCGGUACGAGACAUGAUCAAAUAUGCCAGGAACGUGAUAGAGGAAUUCAGACGAGCCAAACACUACAAAUCUCCCAGUGAAUUACUGGAGAUCUGUGAGCUCAGCCUGGAUAAGAUGGGUGCAGUGUUUGAAGACAGUAACGUCUACAUGUUACAUAUGAUGUACCAGGCCAUGGGUGUCUGUCUGUACGUGCAGGACUGGGAAGGUGCGCUGCGUUAUGGACAAAAAAUUAUCAGACCAUACAGUAAGCAUUAUCCUUCCUACUCACUGAACGUUGCCUCCAUGUGGCUGAAAUUAGGGAGACUGUACAUGGCACUGGAGAACAGACCAGCUGGAGAUAAAGCUCUGAAGAAGGCAAUUGCCAUCAUGGAAGUAGCACACGGGAAAGAUCAUCCAUACAUUUCAGAGAUCAAAAAGGAAUUAGAGGACCACUGAGCCUUUGAAUCUAUGCAAUCCUUCAAACCUUUAUUUAAAAAGCCUUGUUAUGGAAACCUUCAGGAGCGCUUUGAAAAGCGUGACUUAGCUGAGAGAAAGGAGAAAAAGGGCCGAUGUAUUCUGUGCGUCGUAUAGGAAAGCCACCACCUUUCCCUCAGCAGUUCAGCUGCAGGUCCAUCACUGCUCCUAGCAGCAUCAAAUACCAGCCUGCCUUGGAAGAAUUUUAUAGGAAGCCUUCCUCACUCUUGCCUGUCUGAUCAGGGACUGCUUCCACUGAAGUGUCUUAGUACAGAGACUCAAUCCAAAACACUGACUGUCUUUAAGUAGAUGAUCUAGAAGAAGAAAAACAAAACUAUUAAGCACUAAUACUUGAGCAGAUGCCUGAAAUGAACAUAGGUUGUUUGAUUUUUGGGGUUUUUUUCACUGUUAAAGAGUACUGGGAUUCUCCAAUGAGAGCUGUUCUUCUACCCAUUACUUCCAGGCCACCCUCCAAAGGCAAAGUCCCACUGCUGCAGCAGGGAAACUCUCAGUUAAGGUGUGCGCAGAUCAAAAGUAUCAGUACUUCAACAAUGAGGAAAACACCAGCUGAAAAAUGGCUGAGAGGAACUAAGUGAAUUUCACUGGUUUUAGAAUAUCUUACACUAAAAAUCUAUUUACUUUUAAAUAUUUAUAUAAACACUGCUAUUUUUAAGCUGCACAGUAUUGUUUUGUUCCACAAUCUAACAGGAAUUUAUCUGUGGCUAAGAACUCAGCCUUCUCUUGUUGGCCCAAGAGCCCAAACAACCAACUGUUCUCUUCCUCAAAUCACAGUCCUUGCAAGUCAAGGCUGCACGUGGCUGCAUGCGUGAUGUCCUCCUCUCUUCUCUCACAAGGCAAGAGCUUCCUCAGUUCUGUAAGGAAAACCUUUAUAGAAGGCUAAGAAUGAGCUGGGGACAGUUGCCUUCAGGAUUUUGGCCCUGUAGCCCUUCUUUUGUUGACAUCAAACUCCAUACUGCACAACUGAACCAUACAUACAGCAGCAGAAUUGUGUACAUUUUUAUGGAGUACUUUUAUGGAGAUUAGGUUUUCAUGCAGUGUUUUACCUUGCAAGAUCAGUUAUGAAUAUUUGCUUCUUCAGUACGAUACACCCUUUAUUUCAUGAAAUGUGUGCCACCCUUGAGUUCCACAUGUAUUCUUUUCCCUAAAAACAGCAGCAAAAUUUAACCUCUCAGUGAGGUAUGAAAGCUGCUACAGCAGCGGGGAUCAGCCAUACUGAUACUUCUACUUUUUGAGUGCACAGCUCCUAGACUGUUAGCAAGACUGACAACAACUAAUUCAGUCUUCAUGUCAUCCCAGAAAACUGCUGGGAAGUUGGCUGCUGUGAGCCAACUGUUAGAAACUGUAUGGUUUCUAACUGCUGAAUUGCCUGCUACCCACAGGUGAAUCUCCUUUCACUCGAAACACUAGUUUAAGGAAAAACUACUUCCAGUAAGGCUGAGCAUUUGGGGUCCCUAUACACCUAUUAAUAGAAGGUUUGUGGGAUCAAGCUCUGUCUUACCUCAACUGGCCGAGGAUAAGAGGUGCCAAGGCAGGCCUGGGCAGCAGCUGGAACAAGUGGGACCUGAGCAGCUGACGUGCAGCUCCACUGUUCUCCAGCGCAGCCCAUGGAGGACAGAAACUGGAUGUCAGCAGCACUGGGCAGACUGCUGGUGAGCGACUCAACUGAGAUCUCCCAUCCUCAACUCAGACAACGUUAAGCAUGAAAUGCUCUGACCAUAACAUUAAGCGAAAAUUUGAUGCCAUCAACCUCAAUGCAAACAUUGGGAUGAGUUUAAAGAAAAAGAAGCUGUUAAAUAUUGUGAAAGAAAAUAUAGAUUAAAAGUGCAUAAAAAGGAGAAGACACAGAAUGAAUUCCCAACUAAGGCUCAUCCACUCUGAGCUUUCUCCUAGAAAAUAAUCUGAGGAGCAUAGCCUAAAUGUGCCAGACUGCAACAUGGGAACCUUGGAGAAGACUGUUGGUUUCCAAUGUUUUAAGGUAUGAUUCCGUUUUCUUUAAAUUGAUGUUUUGUUUUUUUUUUUUAAAUAAGAUUUUCAAUCCAAACUUCAUUCAAAAUGGAUGAAACUGUUCUACUGUAACCUACUCACUGUCACAUUUUGGGUUAAAAAGUACAUGAUGCUGCAACCCAAAAUUGUCCUCCCCUUGUAGUAAAGAAUUCUGCUGUUAUGUCUGUGGGCCAGAAACUGAACAGAACUGCUUUAAGUCUGAUGGUUUCACUCCUACAAUGACUAAUGAAACUGGAUACAAUACGCAUUUUCCUGUCACUCCCUAAAGUGUUAGGAAGUAUUGCCCAAGUGGUUUAGGACUGAUAAAGCUACAACAAGUUAAAGUCAGGAGGUUCAGUUUUUCCCCUACAACAGUGUAACCCAUUUCAGUAAUAAAUCAUUGAUGUGCUGAGAUUCAUUUGCAAGCUGGGGUAGAAAAGAACCUCUAAUGACACACACUGCCCCAGUUCACUUAUGAUAUUAGCAAGCAGAUCAAGUCAAGAUAAAAUAUGUCAGGAAAAAAUAGACAAGUCAGAUGAAAGGGAAAAUUUAAAAUUACCGUUCUUUGACAAUGAAAGGGAAAAAAUGAGUCACGUUGGCUUCUAUCUACCACACCAGCCGUCUUAGGAAUUAAUUGGAAAUGACUGUUUACUAUGUGGCCAUUUAUUUGGCUCAUUAAUGAGUACUGACUUAAUUUGGAAAGGAUUUUUGGUGCCAUUUCAUAAUUAAUAUUUUUCUAAGACACUUAUAAUGUGACGCUUGCUUAAUUUUCCUUUUAAACACAGCUAUUUACAUUCUCUUAUGAAGUAACUUUUUUGUACUGACUGUAGAAACAGUAGGAUGCAUUUCAGCCAAGAAUAACUGAGUAAUAAGACACAGGGGCAGAUUAUUUUUCCUCCUGAUUUUCUACUUCUCAAAUUCCAAGUGGAGCAAUGGGACUUGACAGCUCUGAGUUCAAACUUAAUUCAUCAUUAGGAAAUUAUUCAAAAAGCUAAAAUGAGAUAACUAAUUUAAUACACUUUGCUUCAAGGUUUAUUCUUUGGCUUGUUUCCCAGAUGUAAAGCAUCUCUGUGCAAUUAUCAUGCAGAUGCUGCUGAAAAGACUUUAAAAUGGUUGCUGCUAAUGUAACAGGAGACACGUUGGCAGUGGCAGAAGGAAUUAGAGAAAACUGAAGUUGACUGAAAACUCAACUGAUCCCUAAAAGGAACAUGGUUAAGAUAUUACAGCUAAAGAAGUCACGGCCAUUUGUUGGUUGCUGAAAAUCUCUACUAGAAUUCCUGUCACAUUGUUACACCCAUAUGGCAUAGCAGCAAAAAAAGCAGAGUUUUACAUGCAUUUCAGAAGGACUCUGGUACAGAGCCUUAGAUUAAGCCCUCGCAGCAUUUAGGGAAAAGCAGGAGUGUAGGUCCCAUUAGUGAUCCUGAACUCAGAGUACUUGGCUUAGGCCUUUAUACAUUGACUUAAAGCUAGUUAUGGCUUGGCCAUAUGCAUUUAAAACAAGAACAGCAGAACAACUGGUUUUCUUUGUUGCCACAUAGUAGUAGGGAAGUUUCAGAAAAGCAGCAGUGUGAGAUGCUCUCAGAUGAGUGCAGUAAUUGUGACUCUCCAAAACACUGCGGUCUUUUUUGGAUUGCAGUCUGUUCUGGGAUGCACCUGAAUCAUUUGGGAGCUGGGAAUUUACGUCCCAUGGCCUUUAACAAUGUCAACCUGACCUGUUCCAUCUGCUGCUGCUGAAACUGUUGUUAGCAGAAAGGCAAACAACUGCAUUUCACAUAAUGCCACAUAGCAGCUGUAUCCUCAGAAGAAAUGAAGACACACGUCAUUUAGGAAAGAAAAACAGUAGGAAAUAGGGGGAAAAAAAAAAAAAAAAAACAGGGCACCAGCUUGUGCUGGGGAUGCAAAACUGCAGACAGAGGGAGGACAAAGUGAGCAUGAAAGGAACGUGGAUUCUGGAAAGGGAGGAGAGUGACCUUGGAGUAGGGGUGGAAAUGAGAUAAGGAUGGGG
Phasianus colchicus (ring-necked pheasant) is the source of this 5488-nucleotide non-coding RNA. Lineage: Eukaryota; Metazoa; Chordata; Aves; Galliformes; Phasianidae. The record is from RefSeq and is a predicted model, not a curated record.